Molecule: long non-coding RNA, 702 nt
Filed under: Rattus norvegicus (Norway rat)
Lineage: Eukaryota; Metazoa; Chordata; Mammalia; Rodentia; Muridae
Description: long non-coding RNA NONRATT011284
Source: RNAcentral
GGGGUGGGGGUAUGAAAAAGCAAGAUAGAACUUUUUGCUGUACUGAUGUUCGAACCCAAGGACCUUGGGUUUAUUUUCACUACCCUGGCACCCCCAGGGUGCUGAGAGCUGAAUUCGCACCCUUACUCCACACUGCUUAUCCGACAAACAGAAGCCCUGAAAUCUACCUGCCCAAACCCAGAUUCCUUCUGUUUGUGGGUGUGGUCCCUUGGGAUACUGGGGGAUAAAAGAAGGGGAGAGGAGUGGGUAAAAGCCGGAGAAGGGUUGGUGGGACAGAGAAGAAAGGGGUGGAGGAGACCCUGAGAAGACAGAAGGUGGCAACCCAGCCCCUAGUGGCAUUUGGACUAAAUCUAGGUUUGACAAGCUCUGGGCAAGGUCCUCUAGGGAAGUAGCCCUGGGAAACAGGGAGAAGGAACUCAGUGUCCUAAACAAUAGAUCCCCAUACUUGGGAACAGAGGAUAGCUCUUGCCGACUACCACCUUCCCCAUGGUACUGUACUGCGAGCACCCUGAAAAACGUCCACCUGUGUGAGUUGUAUCUGUGUUACUGUUUGAAAUGGGCCUUUCGGCUUCUCAGUCUCCCAAGCGUACUUACUGAAAUUGCUAUUGAUAUUUUUAUUGUCAUGUUACCCUUGAGUUCUGACGAGCAAAGCAGAGCCUAUGAAGAAAGGAAUGAAGAGCUAUUUAUAUCACUCAAUCAUCU